UUCGCAAUGCCCGAAAGGGUGACGAAGCGACGCCGCGUGGGUGAAGAAGGCCUUCGGGUUGUAAAGCCCUGUCAGGAGUUAUGAAAUGCAAGUGCGCUAAUAUCGUGCUUAUUUGACAAAGGCUCCAAAGGAAGCCACGGCUAACUCUGUGCCAGCAGCCGCGGUAAUACAGAGGUGGCGAGCGUUGUUCGGAAUUAUUGGGCGUAAAGAGCACGUAGGUGGGUUUGCAAGUCAGAUGUGAAAGCCUUCUGUUCAACGGAAGAAUUGCAUCUGAAACUGCUAAUCUUGAGUGUAGGAGGGGAGAAUGGAACUUCUGGUGGAGCGGUGAAAUGCGUAGAUAUCAGAAGGAACGCCGGCGGCGAAAGCGAUUCUCUGGCCUAUUACUGACACUCAGUGUGCGAAAGCUAGGGGAGCAAACGGGAUUAGAUACCCCGGUAGUCCUAGCCGUAAACGAUGGGCACUAAGUAGAGGGGUUUU
This 477-nucleotide ribosomal RNA is filed under the name uncultured anaerobic ammonium-oxidizing bacterium. RNAcentral describes it as "bacterial SSU rRNA". It matches the Rfam family "Bacterial small subunit ribosomal RNA", at positions 365 to 832 of the family's 1533-position model. The record is from RNAcentral.